This 254-nucleotide ribosomal RNA is filed under the name uncultured bacterium. RNAcentral's name for it is "partial 16S ribosomal RNA". It matches the Rfam family "Bacterial small subunit ribosomal RNA", at positions 524 to 777 of the family's 1533-position model. The record is from RNAcentral.
UACGGGGGGGGCAAGCGUUGUUCGGAAUUACUGGGCGUAAAGGGCUCGUAGGCGGCCAACUAAGUCGGAUGUGAAAUCCCCAGGCUUAACCUGGGAACUGCAUCCGAUACUGGAUGGCUUGAAUCCGGGAGAGGGAUGCAGAAUUCCAGGUGUAGCGGUGAAAUGCGUAGAUAUCUGGAGGAAUACCGGUGGCGAAGGCGGCAUCCUGGACCGGCAUUGACGCUGAGGAGCGAAAGCUAGGGGAGCAAACGGGG